Brienomyrus brachyistius is the source of this 625-nucleotide long non-coding RNA. RefSeq lists it as uncharacterized. Lineage: Eukaryota; Metazoa; Chordata; Actinopteri; Osteoglossiformes; Mormyridae. The transcript has 4 exons. The record is from RefSeq and is a predicted model, not a curated record.
CAAAUCUUCUGUCCUUCAAAGUCUGCACGUGAUAAAGGAACCUGCCGAGACCCUUAAUGACGUGAAGACACUGUGCGUCUCCCUCAUCAUCUUACUCUAAACAACGAUGGUCUGCAUGGCAUUCCCUUUCAUCAUGGUGACCACCUUCGCUGCAACUUGCGCUUUGACCUGCUUUCCCUUCUCCGUUUUGAUGUACAUGCAGGGAUAUAAAAAGGGUUUGCAGAAAUCUGUGCUUCAUAAGUCAGCGGAGGAGGGACAGCUGCUUCCUCCUGGUGCUCAUGGGAAGCAGGGGCAGGCCAGAAGUGAUGGACGACAGCUGCUCGACAUUUACACAGAGGUCAAAUACAGCCCACUGUGACCUCUGACCCCAGCCACACCUCCACAAAUCAUGUGAUCCAGAUAACCACACCCUCCCAGACUCACUUGCACCUUAAGCACACAUUCCUAUGUCUUCAUUUUGACACAUAAGGGGUUCAGUUGUCUCAGACAUUAAGUUAUAAUUCAAAUUUUUUCAAUUGUAAUUUUAUGCAGACAUUGAAGUAAAAGACGUCAACAACUUUAUUUUGGAUGAUUUUAUGCAAUAAAAUGUUCCUUUUAUUUGAUUCUGAAUCAUUUUUCAGUGCAG